RNAcentral lists this ribosomal RNA (169 nucleotides) under Desmodema polystictum (polka-dot ribbonfish). RNAcentral describes it as "partial 12S ribosomal RNA". Lineage: Eukaryota; Metazoa; Chordata; Actinopteri; Lampriformes; Trachipteridae. The record is from RNAcentral.
CACCGCGGUUAUACGAGAGGCCCAAGUCAAUAGUCCCCGGCGUAAAGGGUGGUUAGGAUUACCUUUAAACUAAAGCCCCACAUUUCCAAAGCUGUUAUACGCACCCGGAAAAUGGAUGACCCCCUACGAAAGUGGCUUUAAAAACACUGAACCCACGAAAGCUACAAAA